AGGCUACCAGUUCUGAAGCUGGUACUGAUGAGGGUUAUGAGUCCGUGGAGGGCUAAGUUAUUUUAUUUUUCAUAUUAUGUUUUAUUUCUAUUGUAUUUUCAGACUUGUGUAUUUUGAUGUUGGUUAUGUACUUUUGGGGUGUUUUGUCCCCCAUGAACAAAUUUAAAUUUUGAAGUAAUGUUAUUAUUUAUGUUUUAAA
RNAcentral lists this long non-coding RNA (199 nucleotides) under Lathyrus oleraceus (garden pea). RNAcentral's name for it is "Pisum sativum (pea) long non-coding RNA (PSAT_LNC017781)". The record is from RNAcentral. Lineage: Eukaryota; Viridiplantae; Streptophyta; Magnoliopsida; Fabales; Fabaceae.